This 237-nucleotide ribosomal RNA is filed under the name uncultured bacterium. Its description in RNAcentral is "partial 16S ribosomal RNA". It matches the Rfam family "Bacterial small subunit ribosomal RNA", at positions 524 to 760 of the family's 1533-position model. The record is from RNAcentral.
UACGGAGGGGGCUAGCGUUGUCCGGAAUUACUGGGCGUAAAGCGCGUGUAGGCGGGUCUUUAAGUCAGGGGUGAAAUCCUGGAGCUCAACUCCAGAACUGCCUUUGAUACUGAGGAUCUUGAGUUCGGGAGAGGUGAGUGGAACUGCGAGUGUAGAGGUGAAAUUCGUAGAUAUUCGCAAGAACACCAGUGGCGAAGGCGGCUCACUGGCCCGAUACUGACGCUGAGGCACGAAAGC